CUCUUUACCUAGCGGCGGACGGGUGAGUAAUGCUUAGGAAUCUGCCUAUUAGUGGGGGACAACAUCUCGAAAGGGAUGCUAAUACCGCAUACGUCCUACGGGAGAAAGCAGGGGACCUUCGGGCCUUGCGCUAAUAGAUGAGCCUAAGUCGGAUUAGCUAGUUGGUGGGGUAAAGGCCUACCAAGGCGACGAUCUGUAGCGGGUCUGAGAGGAUGAUCCGCCACACUGGGACUGAGACACGGCCCAGACUCCUACGGGAGGCAGCAGUGGGGAAUAUUGGACAAUGGGGGGAACCCUGAUCCAGCCAUGCCGCGUGUGUGAAGAAGGCCUUUUGGUUGUAAAGCACUUUAAGCGAGGAGGAGGCUACCGAGAUUAAUACUCUUGGAUAGUGGACGUUACUCGCAGAAUAAGCACCGGCUAACUCUGUGCCAGCAGCCGCGGUAAUACAGAGGGUGCAAGCGUUAAUCGGAUUUACUGGGCGUAAAGCGCGCGUAGGUGGCCAAUUAAGUCAAAUGUGAAAUCCCCGAGCUUAACUUGGGAAUUGCAUUCGAUACUGGUUGGCUAGAGUAUGGGAGAGGAUGGUAGAAUUCCAGGUGUAGCGGUGAAAUGCGUAGAGAUCUGGAGGAAUACCGAUGGCGAAGGCAGCCAUCUGGCCUAAU
This 659-nucleotide ribosomal RNA is filed under the name Acinetobacter sp. EECC-28. Its description in RNAcentral is "bacterial SSU rRNA". It matches the Rfam family "Bacterial small subunit ribosomal RNA", at positions 84 to 738 of the family's 1533-position model. Lineage: Bacteria; Pseudomonadati; Pseudomonadota; Gammaproteobacteria; Moraxellales; Moraxellaceae. The record is from RNAcentral.